RNAcentral lists this ribosomal RNA (575 nucleotides) under uncultured bacterium. RNAcentral describes it as "partial 16S ribosomal RNA". It matches the Rfam family "Bacterial small subunit ribosomal RNA", at positions 355 to 922 of the family's 1533-position model. The record is from RNAcentral.
UGGGGAAUUUUGGACAAUGGGCGCAAGCCUGAUCCAGCCAUGCCGCGUGCGGGAAGAAGGCCUUCGGGUUGUAAACCGCUUUUGUCAGGGAAGAAAUCUUCUGAGUUAAUACCUCGGGAGGAUGACGGUACCUGAAGAAUUAGCACCGGCUAACUACGUGCCAGCAGCCGCGGUAAUACGUAGGGUGCAAGCGUUAAUCGGAAUUACUGGGCGUAAAGCGUGCGCAGGCGGUUUUGUAAGACAGAGGUGAAAUCCCCGGGCUCAACCUGGGAACUGCCUUUGUGACUGCAAGGCUUGAGUGCGGCAGAGGGGGAUGGAAUUCCGCGUGUAGCAGUGAAAUGCGUAGAUAUGCGGAGGAACACCGAUGGCGAAGGCAAUCCCCUGGGCCUGCACUGACGCUCAUGCACGAAAGCGUGGGGAGCAAACAGGAUUAGAUAGCCCUGGUAGUCCACGCCCUAAACGAUGUCAACUGGUUGUUGGGAAGGUUCCUUCUCAGUAACGUAGCUAACGCGUGAAGUUGACCGCCUGGGGAGUACGGCCGCAAGGUUGAAACUCAAAGGAAUUGACGGGGUGCA